CUGCUCAGUGAUUUUGUUCAGGCUAACGUCAGAUUAAAAGGUUUUUAGACAUGCUUUAGCAUGUGUUUCAACUUUAUAGCAUCUUUUGUGAACAGUUUGUACUCCUCUCCUUGUACUGUUUUUGUCUUUCUCUGCCCUGCCUCUGAUUUCAGUGAAUGUCUGUGGGAUUUAUGCUUUGAUUCAAAUCAAAUUUUAUUUCUAUAGCACUUUAACACUGGGACACGGUCACGGAGGAGCUUCACUUCUAAAAGAGUGAAAAGAACAAUAGACAACAACAAGUGCAGUGUCUUUAUCACUGCAUGUCUUUAACAACCACACAGUAUUAACAUCAGCUCAGAGUCAGACACACUCACACAUACACUGACUACCUGCAAGACAACAAGAGCCAUCUGACCACUCUGUGAGAAACCAAACAAAAAUUAUAGAUAUUUUUUCUUAUUUUAAAGGAUUUUUUUACUUAAUGCUAAAGAGUCUUCAAUAAAAGAAUAUAGACUUCAGGCACAUGUUGGUAUGUUUUCUCUCUGUUUACCUCCUCUG
Molecule: long non-coding RNA, 537 nt
Organism: Ictalurus punctatus (channel catfish)
Lineage: Eukaryota; Metazoa; Chordata; Actinopteri; Siluriformes; Ictaluridae
Source: Ensembl